ACAAGGAGAGCGCCAGGAAGGCUUCUGCUGACUGGCUUUAGAGAUUGAUCAUGAUGAAUAAUGCGAUUCUUCAAGUUAAAACAACCUCGUGGGUGAGUUUCUCUUUGUCUUUUCUGUACUAAACUCAAGGGAUCUUUUUUAUUUAAGGGCCAAUGAGAUUCCUAACAUCCAAUCCUGGAAGAUGCCUGGAAACCUGUGCCCUUUGUCAGCCUCGUGAAUUCAUAAUAGCAUGCUGCUGAGAUGCUAGUCAGCACACUGUUUUAUGGAUUUCAAAUAAAUGUAGCAGUUGACAGAUUUCUGAAGGUAGGCAAUGGUUAAGUUUUGAUAGGAACUAGUUUAUAAGAUCAAAACAAAAAGGUUGAUUCUGUCUAAUGCAUGAAUGAAUAUAUGUAGUCUGAUCUCUUUCCAUUUAGGAAUAAUCUUUUAGGAAGUUUUUGUCUUUAUGCCACAUUUAAAUAACACGUAACCCUCCUUCCCAAAUGCAACUAUGCAAAAUGAGCAUGCAGUAAUAUACUAUUAAAGGAUGUUGUAAUCUAUUAAUUUUUUUUGUGAUGAGUAGAACAUAUUAAUAAUGUGUAUAAUUUAAAAGGAAAAUUCCAAAUACUAUAGACUUAUUGUCAGCAUCACUCAAUACACAGGUGGCAGAAUGAAGUAUCUGAUGACCUUCUCACACUUAUUUCCCUUCCCUUCUCACCCUUGAUGAGAUGAUGAUCUUUGGUAAGACACAGUAAACUGACAAAGACUGUUACCAUGAAAGCAUUAAAGAUUUUCUAUGAAUAUUUGUGAAAUAAAGGCUUAUUUUGCGGAUUUGUUACUCUGAAUAAUCUAAACACUGUAAACUCACUCCGAGGAAUAUUGUGAAAAGCUACGGGCCCUUUCUGAUAAAGCAGAAAAUGAAGAAAAGAGCAGAGGAGUUAGAAAAGACCUGGAGAAAUAUAAGAAUGAACCCCACUCUGCUAAAACAAAUGCCACAGAAGACACAUUUUUGAAACAAAUAAAUGGGGUAAAGAGAAUUUUUCAUAAUAUAAAAGUAAUUCUUGAUUAUACAGAAUUAAUAACAGAUUUCUAUUGAAUAAAGAAGUCCCCAGGUGCAUUCAAAAUGAUUACUUUUCUCAUCAUUUAAUUCUUGCAAUUUGCAGGUCCUAAGAUGAGCUAUCUGUAAAUAUAAGAGUUUAUUAAAUAGGAUAUACAAAUAAAAUUCUUUGGUAUAUAUGCUGGUUAAAAUUUUAUGAAAUGUUCCAAAUUCUAAAAUUCUAAUAUUUUCAUGUUUUUCUGUAACAGUGAUAUUCUAGAGUUCCCUAAAUUCUGAGUACCACAUAAAAUUGCAUUUGAUUAAAUCGGUUUUCCUUGAUGGAAGAGAACAUCAUUUAAACGUUUGUGAUUUCUGACCUAUGGUUGCUCUCUGCUAAAUGUGAUUCAAAGGUCAAGACCAACUUAAAGCCAUGGAACACAGCACAAAUUCAUUAUCCAUUUUAAUUCCUGUAGUGACACAGUUAAGAUCCCAUGAAUAUCUGUAUCUCUCACCCAGAACUGUGAAGGAAAUCCAUCUCUCUGAUGUUGCCAAACCAUUCAGGCCUCCAUCAAUGAGAUUGCAGAGGCCUUCAAGGUUCACAAUAUUCACCAAGACAUCUAUGGAAAUACGCUAUUGCUUUCCUACGAUGCAAAUACAGAUCACACAAGAAGGAAAAGUUCCAUGUAUUUCUCACCACUAAAUGAAGCCGUUAAUAUAUGUCUUAACUCCAUGAACUAUGCAGCUUCCAAAACAACCAAGAAAAGGAGCCAACAAGUAGGAUUCGUUAUGUAAGUUCAUGAACUUUCUCCACUGGAAGGGGUUUUGGAAUUAAUUCAGCAAAGCCCCUUGUUUUAGAAUUAAGGUAAGUGAAGAUCAGAAAAUUUAAGUGACUCAAGAUUGCACAGCUCGUUAGAGGCAGAGCCAGGACAAAAGCUCAGGACUCCUGACUUCAGUCUAACCCACUAUACCAAUAAUUAGUUGCUAAGACAAUUUUGUAUUCCUAAGAUGUCUUUAGGUAUUAAAAGUCAACUACAAGAAGUGUAUAUUUCCCUAGACCAUGCAUUCUCAACAAGGGCUAUAUCACCCCCAGAGGCAUGAACAUGGGUUCUUGCGGAUCAAAAAAAUCUUAUAUGAGGGACCAGCCCAGUGGUGCAGUGAUUAAGUUUGCAUGCUCCUCUUCGGCGGCCUGGGGUUCACGGGUUCAGAUCCCGGGCACGGACUGACACACCACUCAUCAAGCUAUGCUGUGGUGGUGACCCAUAUACAAAAUAAAGGAAGAUUGGCACAGAUGUUAGUUCAGCAACAAUCUUCCUCAAGCAAAAAUAGGAAGACUGGCAACAGAUGUUAGCUCAGGAUCAAUCUGCCUCACCAAAAAACAAAAAAAGCCCCUUAAAUGUUAGAUAUUACAAUUGUCACAAUUGUUUGUAGUCUUCCUAAGGGCCACAGUAUCUAAUCAGAUAUGCAACUUGUCUAUGGCAUCCAAGUUUCAGGGUGAGGGAGCUGUGAGGUGGGAGAAGGAAGGGUUAGGAAAAGAACGUCUAGAAAAGUUCUUUCGGGGCAACAACUGUUAAAAAGUUGAGAAAGACUGCCCUGGACCAAAGUCCACGGUCAGGAUCUUAGGGAACUUGCCAAAACGUUGGCUGAGUACAAGUGCUGGAGGCUCAAUUCGUUUUUAGAGUUAAACCAGUAAGCUGGGAUCCAGAAGCAUGCUUUGCUGUUCUCAUCCAGUUUUGGUGACCUAUUAUGAAGCAUAAAAAUCUGCUUUUUAUAGUGCCAAACUCAGCUCUUCGUCAUCGUAUAACUAGAGGAUAAAUAAGAUGGAAGUUACACUGCGUGCUCAAUAUUAUUAGCAAGGUAAGUAUAGGGUGCUGUGGGAAUUCAAGAAAAGUGCUGAGUGUAAAGGAAAAUACUGAGAAAGUGCUCAGGAUCUAAACCCUACUUCUGUCCCUUAACACUUAUCAGAAAGUUUUUCUACUGAGGUUGUCCAAGUUUCUAUUUCGUCAACUAUAAAUUUAGAGUUAUCUGCCUCACAUGAUUUGCGGAGAAAUAAAAGUAAUAAUAUAUGUACAGCAAUAAACCUGAAAUAUAGUAGUCACCAAAUAAAUAACAUGUAUCAUUAUUAUUAUUACUUGUUAAGACCUUCAGAAGCCAUUAGACCUAGACUGGUUCUAUGUCAAUUUAUUCAGUAGGCAAUUUGUUCUUGGAGUCUUUCUUAUCUCCUCUUUUGAAAAACUCCCCCCUUUGUUUUUGCCCCUUCCCACUUUCGUUCUUCUUGCACUCUUGACACCCCCUAUCUCUGCCUUUGGCUCCCUCGUGCUCUCUUAGCUGAGAUCCAGUUCUGCCUGCAUGGGGAUACCUCGGCCAAACUCAGCUGUUAUGAUUCUGCAUGAGCAUCACCAUCACCUUUUAUUUCUACCCUCCCAUCCCCAAAAGGAUAGAGAUAGCUCACUGAUUUAUGUCUGCCCCAUAAGACCCUUAACUCCUUGAGGGCAGAGAUUCAUUUAUUCAACUUUUCCAGCCAUUAUUCUACAGCUGUAAACAGAAAAAACAGAAUCCUGCACUUAUGGAAUCUGUAUUCCCUUAGGGUAGAAAGACAGUAUGUAAACAAGUGAGCCAUAGUGUUUACUAGUGGUAAAUGCUAAGGAGAAAAAUAAAGUAAUGAAGAGGGAUAGUAAGUACAGGAAGGAGUAUAAUUUUAGUAAGGUGGCCAACUGAAGUUCCCCCCAAAAAAUGGCAUUUGAGAAUAAGAUCAGAAAGAAGUAAGGGGUUUUGUCAUGGAGAUAUUUAGGGGAAGAAUCCUAUCCUGAGAGCUGAGAGGUGCAUUUCCACGGCUGCCACAGGCCCAGGCAUGUAGGGCCACAUAGACCCUGGCUUUUACUCUGAGAGAAAUAGAAUCAUGUCUUAUGCUUCUUAAUACUGCAAGUAUUGGGCUCAGUGCCUAAAACAUGCUAGGCAUUGAGUAAAUGACUGAUGACUGUAUCAACUCAUUCAACACCACAUGUACACACUUACACCAAUUAAAUGAUAGACAAAGACUGGCUUUGUGAUGUCCAAUUUAGAUGGGUACCAUCUAGGAUAAACCUGAAAACACAGAAUCCACUGCAGACAAUAUAAUUUGAAGAAAUCAUAGCAAAAUAUAUGGCUUUAUACCUGUCAGUUCUGUGCAAAUAGACAAUAACUACAGAUUUGGUGAGGAAGCUGGGGAGAGGAGUAGGCAGGGUAAAGUGGAAAAAGUAUUAGGAGGACCCUCAGACAAUUGGAUAGCAACUAGAGUUGGCAGACUUAGCAAAUAAAUAAAUAAUUCUGGACUCCCAGGUAAGUUUGUAUUUCAGAUAAAUAAUGAAUAAUUUUCUAGCAUAAGUAUGUCCCAUUAAUAUUUAACUGGGUGUUCAGUUUUUUUGGGGUUUUUUUGUUUUUUGUUUUUUGUUUUUGGAGAAGGAGAUUGGCCCUGAGCUAACGUUUGUUGCCGGUCUUCCUCUAUUUUGUACAUGGGAUGCCACCACAGCAUGGCUUGAUGGUAUGCAGGUCCGCACCUGGGAUCCAAACCUGUGAACCCUGGACCGCAGAAGCAGAGCUCGUGAACCUAACCACUAUGUCUCCAGGCUGACCCCAGGGUGUUCAGUAUUUUAUCUGGAAAGCCUACCUCCAACAGACAAGUGUUAAGUGGAACCCCCACGUCAAGACUGAAUUCUCAACAUGGCCUGACUGCUGUGAGUUCUCAUCCAGCAGUUUGGUUGAAAUGAUACAUGGAAUGUGAGUCAAAAUAAUGGAACUUCUAGGUACAAUUUUUGUUGUAUAUAUUUUACAUUGCAUACAAUAUAUUAGUGUAGUAGCAUAUCUACAUAUGUAGUUUAUAUAUAAUUUACAAAUAAACACUUAUUGGAACUGAACUGUCAAACAUUUAUUCCUGAUAGGGGAGAGGAAUCAAAAAGAGUUAUCAAUAGAUGAGCAGCAUUGCGACAAAGAGCUUCUAUUCCUUUUCCCUUUAACAACAAAGAAAAGAUAUUCAAAUCAGGAAAAUCCUUAUAUGCUUGGUAAAAAUGUCACUAAGCUAUUUAGUUUGGGGAAUUUGUGAAAUUAACCAGAUGUGCUGAAAUAUACUUUCUUGUUGCAAAAUAGCUGGUAAUCCACUAGGAUAAAUCGCUGUGAGGUAAUCACAUUCGAACAAUUCAUUUGGUGCAUUCUUCUUCUUACUUAGGGAAAAAAAGAAAUUUGCUUGGACUUGAUCCUUGCACUUCACAGGAUCAGUCAUACUUUGUUGAUUUGUUCCAACAAUUGCCCGCCCAUUAAAUUUGAAAAGAUAAAAAGUGGAAAAAAUAUAAGAAGCCACAAAACACCCCUUCUCUGUGGAGUGACAGCAUUGUAAUACCACAGAAUCUAGAGACAGAUGGUGGCUUAUAGCAGACAUCAAUCUUCAAUGAGAGUAAAUUUCGGAUAAUGCCCCUCUUUGGUAAUGGACAUGUCUUUGCAAAGUUAUUGCUGACAGCAUCCUCUAACGUGCUGAUUUGCUAAGACAAGGUUUUUAUUGCAUCUAAUCUUGUCGUGAGGCAUGAAAAGAGUGGCUGGGUACAUGUUUUUCAUGUAUAGUUUUUACAAGAAUUGCCUGCAUUAGAGAGUGGCUAAAUUGUUUUCCAUAUUUUAUGGCACAUUUCAAAUGUUCCGCCACACACAACAUUGAUCACUCAGUCCAUUAGCUUAUUAUGAUAUCCUGAAAGGAGACACUUCCCUUGGGAAAAGCCAUAAUUUGAAAUGAGAUGAAGGCUCUGACUCCCUAGGACAGAGUGGGGUGGGAUCUACUGAGCAACUGCUUAAUUUCCUCAAGGGAAAUAGCCAGUUAAAUAUAUAUAGAAAUGUAAAUACACACAUAUAUUUUUCAAAAUGUCUGACCUAUUCAAAUCUACUUUGUCUUCUGAGGGACUUGGACACUUUCCAGCAGCUCAAACUGGCUUCAGUAAGGAUGGGGCAGCUUUUACAAUACAAAACUUUUUCAUAAUUAUGGGAAAUACUCAUGGCAUUAUCAGGGUUCUAAUAGAAAAAAUAGAGGGACUUUAAUAUAGGGGUUUGUUAACACAGGUUGUAGAAGAGCUGAAAAAACGCACAAGACCAUGGAGCAUCCCAGAGAUCAGCAACAACAGAAAGUGCCACCACCACCAGGUGGUUCUGACGGAUCCAGGGCCAUUCACUGGGGCUAGACCCAUUCUGGGGUUGUCUUUGGGAGCUGGGCCCAUGAAAGGAAGAGUUUUCCAAUGGACCUGGAAUCACCGUGGAGGUAUAGCCCCUGAAGGAGACACCAUGGAACAGAAAGCGAGAACAUACCGGGUUCCCCCUUCUUUCUACCCUCUGGUUUCCAACAGUUGCCCCCUUUGGCAAGGAAGCCUUGUAAAUGCAGUUCCCAGAAAUGCAGAACAAAGUAGAAGGGCAGGGAACAAAGCUAGGAGCCAACAGAUAAAUAAAUAACUUGGACAAAAUUAAAGCAGCUUCAUUUCUUUAGCACUUCGUUUAGUAUGUUACUGAGCACUGUAAACUCUAUCCUACACAUAAAGACACAAUUUUUCCCAAGCUAAGUAAACUUUGAAAUCUUUGUCCAUAGGAGUAAGGAUCGAAGUGGCCAUUGGGGACAUCAAAGCAAAGCGUUUCUCAGAACAUUUCAAAAAUUGCUGUGAGAUGGCUACUCAGGCUCCUAAUGGCAUUUGUGUUUCAGGAAAUGUAACUGAAUGGGAAAAUGGUGGAUGCCCCAUUGCAUUCUGCACUUCGUCUGUGUCAGAAUCUUAUGCUAGGUGCUUCCGCGUGUUUCACUUCAUCUUCAGAGUGGCCUAAAAGAGGAAUUCAUAUCUCUUGUGGGGAUAUAAGCUUUGAUAUCUUUAUCUACCUCUGAAAACCCCAAAUGAUGUCCUCCCUGUAGGACGUCCUUUGCAUCUGCUGUUGAGAUAUAAAAUCCUAGGGGAAGGGACUGAUGAAGAUCUGUUCAAUGGAAAGGAGCAAGCAGUGGCCACUUUAAGACCCCUGGGUCCUAGAAGCCAACAGUGCUUCAGUCUACUUCAUCUAUGAGAACUACCUCAUUAUUUGCAUCCAGGAAUGUCUGUGGAGAAAAUCUGCUCAUAUCUUGGUAAAUGUAUUCUUUUUUCUUUCUUUUUUUUUUGAUAUUUUUUUCUGAGUUUCCAGUGGACAAAUAAUUCAGUAUUGUCUAAUGGAUUGUAGAGCAGUCUUUGCUUUCAAUAUAGUUAUUUUCAGAAUCUCAUUUUAUCUAAUAUUUUAACUGCCUUAUGUCAUAGAGGUAUAUUAUUUGCUUAUUUCAAAUGACCAUAGGGCUCUAUUUCUU
Molecule: long non-coding RNA, 7331 nt
Organism: Equus caballus (horse)
Lineage: Eukaryota; Metazoa; Chordata; Mammalia; Perissodactyla; Equidae
Source: Ensembl